Molecule: long non-coding RNA, 1066 nt
Filed under: Anas zonorhyncha (Eastern spot-billed duck)
Lineage: Eukaryota; Metazoa; Chordata; Aves; Anseriformes; Anatidae
Description: lncRNA (ENSAZOG00000013393.1)
Source: RNAcentral
GGAGCCAAAGUAUUUCUGUCUCCCGGAACACGAUGCCGACUGCGUGGGCUGGAGCCAGCGCAGCUGCUGGCCCUGCCGCCCAGCCCGGCAGCAGCACACUCAGCCCCCCCCCAGCUGCUGCUGCUGGCUGCAGGCAGAUCCAGCCGGAGCGGGCGCUCCGCAGAGUCCCGCGGGGGUCAAGGUAUCGCCUCCAGGCAGCCCUGCAGGCACCUCGCCCUGCUCCCCACGGCUCCCUCCACGGUUUCUUCCUUGUCCCCUGCCACAAGCGCAUUUCUGGGCUCCCGCCUGCUCCUGUCCUCCACGGUGGUGGCUGCUGUGCUGCAGUUUGUCUGCUGGCAUCUGCACGUUCGCAGCCCUCCAGCUCCACCUCGCUCACCACCAGUACCCGGGAAAUCCUGCGCUCCGCAGACUUUACGAGCCAAAGGGAACGAUAAGAGCAAUUAUAGGAUCAGCCAACUGAACAGGGUGAUAAACCUCAAAGGCAGGCGCUGCUGGCAGCUCCAGCACAGGUGCAGCAGCGUGGAUAGCGGUGGGGCCCUGGAGCUGCUGGGUGGGCAGCACUGGACCCGCAGCAGUGCCCUGCCCCUGCCUGGCCCCGCUGUGCCCAGCCCCAGGAGGGCCCGGAGGGUGCAGGCUGGUGGACACAGGCUGGUGGCCGUGGCCCUGUCCCUGCUGUGCCCCAGGGCUGCCCCCGCUGCAAGCAUCCCGCAGGCAGCGUGGCUCUGGUGUCAGCACCGGCUCCUGUUACUGCAUAAACACCCACGCUGGGGAGGGGACCACAGGCAAACGCAAACAGUUACUGAUUUACUGUAGCUCCACACCUUGCCGCAUUGUUGACUGUGGGGUUAAAUUACUUGGAAACAGACACUGGUCGAGACAAACAGCUCGUGACCUUGCAGCAGGGACCACCUGAGCCCUCACGGCCCUGCGCCUGCACGGGGCUCCAGGAUGCUCCAGCCCAGAGCUGGGGCUGCCCGUGGUGCAGAUGCGGUGCUGAGGGCACAUCCCUGCAGGAGGACCCCACUCACCCCCCACCCUGUGGAGGAGAGGCUGGGGCUGUGCCCAG